GUACUCGAGCGGCGAACGGGUGAGUAACACGUGAGCAACCUGCCCUAGGCUUUGGGAUAACCCUCGGAAACGGGGGCUAAUACCGAAUAUUACUGCUGGCCGCAUGGCUGGUGGUGGAAAGUUUUUCGGCCUGGGAUGGGCUCGCGGCCUAUCAGCUUGUUGGUGGGGUAAUGGCCUACCAAGGCGACGACGGGUAGCCGGCCUGAGAGGGCGACCGGCCACACUGGGACUGAGACACGGCCCAGACUCCUACGGGAGGCAGCAGUGGGGAAUAUUGCACAAUGGGCGGAAGCCUGAUGCAGCGACGCCGCGUGAGGGAUGACGGCCUUCGGGUUGUAAACCUCUUUCAGCAGGGACGAAGCGAAAGUGACGGUACCUGCAGAAGAAGCACCGGCCAACUACGUGCCAGCAGCCGCGGUAAGACGUAGGGUGCGAGCGUUGUCCGGAUUUAUUGGGCGUAAAGAGCUCGUAGGCGGCUUGUCGCGUCGACUGUGAAAACCCGCAGCUCAACUGCGGGCCUGCAGUCGAUACGGGCAGGCUAGAGUUCGGUAGGGGAGACUGGAAUUCCUGGUGUAGCGGUGAAAUGCGCAGAUAUCAGGAGGAACACCGAUGGCGAAGGCAGGUCUCUGGGCCGAUACUGACGCUGAGGAGCGAAAGCGUGGGGAGCGAACAGGAUUAGAUACCCUGGUAGUCCACGCUGUAAACGUUGGGCGCUAGGUGUG
This 722-nucleotide ribosomal RNA is filed under the name Micromonospora sp. RNAcentral's name for it is "bacterial SSU rRNA". It matches the Rfam family "Bacterial small subunit ribosomal RNA", at positions 87 to 824 of the family's 1533-position model. Lineage: Bacteria; Bacillati; Actinomycetota; Actinomycetes; Micromonosporales; Micromonosporaceae. The record is from RNAcentral.